GCCAUUGUAGCUCAGGGGCAGAGCAUUCCCUUGGUAAGGGAAAGGUCAUGGGUUCAAAUCCCAUCAAUGGCU
RNAcentral lists this transfer RNA (72 nucleotides) under Chloroflexi bacterium OLB13. Its description in RNAcentral is "tRNA-Thr". It matches the Rfam family "tRNA". Rfam says of the family: Transfer RNA (tRNA) molecules are approximately 80 nucleotides in length. Their secondary structure includes four short double-helical elements and three loops (D, anti-codon, and T loops). Lineage: Bacteria; Bacillati; Chloroflexota. RNAcentral also lists the same sequence under 6 other names. The record is from RNAcentral.